UCAAAUGAUGAAUUAAUUUGCGAUUGACCUCACUUUGAUGGCACCCUCGCCAGGGUCGCUAUAUCAUGCGAGUGGAUGAAAUUUAUUCUUACAUAUUCUGAUC
Molecule: small nucleolar RNA, 103 nt
Organism: Sclerotinia borealis F-4128
Lineage: Eukaryota; Fungi; Ascomycota; Leotiomycetes; Helotiales; Sclerotiniaceae
Rfam family: A. fumigatus snoRNA Afu_514
Source: Rfam